RNAcentral lists this long non-coding RNA (928 nucleotides) under Homo sapiens (human). Its description in RNAcentral is "non-protein coding CASC15:32". The record is from RNAcentral. Lineage: Eukaryota; Metazoa; Chordata; Mammalia; Primates; Hominidae.
AAGAUGAGGUUCCUGAGCUUCCAGUAGGCGACUGACUGCCCAAGAGACCCAGGGCUCCGCAAGGAGACGGCGCAGGUGUCGGGGCUCCCCGCAGGCCGGGAAAAAGUGUCCGAACGCCUCGUGGACUGCAGCGGGGGAAAUGUCCCUUAAAAGUGCGACGAAGUGGGGAAGAAGGUGUAAUUACUAUUAUCAGCAUCUAGAAAGCAUCAUGAAUUUGCUGGAGUACUUCCUAGCACUGACCUCCUUCAUUCUGCGUUGUUCUUACUGGAUCUUUCCAUCAGCCAACAAUAUGGAAGUACCAAUACAAGGUCAAAUCAUUCCUGGAUUCAUCUGGAGUUGCUUAAAAGUUAAAUCAUUGGAAUUUUUGAUGAUACCUUUUCUAUAUGGAUUACAAUUUGAUCGCUGGGAAUUCUCCACCUUAAAGAAGACGCAAUUUCACCAUGUUACCCAGGCUGGUCUGGCACUCCUUGGCUCAAGCAAUAGCAGUCUGCCUGCUGCAGCUCUCCAAGUGCUGGGAUUACAGUACCCUCAGGUGACUACAGAUGUGUUAACACCCAGCAUGUUCCGGUAGGAGACUUUCUGGAUGGGGAAGAUUUCCAGGUGUGAAUCAUGGCAAUACAGUGAAAGACAGUGAUUUACUGCUUUUGAGGGCGUGCAUGUAUAUGAUUAACGGAUGGAAGUGCAGGACUCCAAGAUUUACUUCCUUCCCUUUCCAGCAGAAUUACCUGAGACGAGUGAGUAAUGGGAUAAUUUGUAAUACCACAGGCCCCUUUUCAAGGGACCAGUAAUCAAAACAGGAAGAUGAAACUGAGAAGAUUUCAACUGGAAGAAUACAACUUUUGAUAAUUUCUGGAUAUACCUCUUAAUUGCAAGCAGGAGAGUCUUCAGAGUUUUCCUGUGGUGGUGGUUGUUGUUGUUGUUGUUGUUG